GACGAACGCUGGCGGCGUGCUUAACACAUGCAAGUCGAACGGAAAGGCCUGCUUUCCCUUGUGGAUUGCGGGUACUCGAGUGGCGAACGGGUGAGUAACACGUGAGUGAUCUGCCCCCAACUUGGGUAUAGGCCUGGGAAACUGGGUCUAAUUCCCGAUAGGACUGCAGGGUGGUGCCUGUGGUGGAAAACGAUUUUCUAGUGGUUGGGGAUGAGCUCGCGGCCUAUCAGCUUGUUGGUGGGGUAAUGGCCUACCAAGGCGGCGACGGGUAGCCGGCCUGAGAGGGUGGACGGCCACAUUGGGACUGAGAUACGGCCCAGACUCCUACGGGAGGCAGCAGUGGGGAAUAUGGCACAAUGGGCGGAAGCCUGAUGCAGCGACGCCGCGGGGGGGAUGACGGCCUUCGGGUUGUAAACUCCUUUCGACCGCGAGGAAGCCACCUGGUUGGAAGGGUGGUGACGGUAGUGGUAGAAGAAGCACCGGCUAACUACGUG
Molecule: ribosomal RNA, 494 nt
Filed under: uncultured bacterium
Lineage: Bacteria
Description: partial 16S ribosomal RNA
Rfam family: Bacterial small subunit ribosomal RNA
Source: RNAcentral